UAUGGUUAAGUGACUAAGCGUACACGGUGGAUGCCUUGGCAGUCAGAGGCGAUGAAAGGCGUAAUAACUUGCGAUAAGCCCAGAUUAGGUAGUAAUAACCUUUUGAGUCUGGGAUUCCUGAAUGGGGAAACCCACUUACAUAAGUAAGUAUCCUGUUGUGAAUACAUAGCAACAGGAGGCAAACCGGGGGAACUGAAACAUCUAAGUACCCCGAGGAAGAGAAAUCAACCGAGAUUCCGAAAGUAGCGGCGAGCGAAAUUGGAUUAGCCCUUAAGCUUUUAAUGAGACAGAUGAAGGCUCUGGAAAGUGCCGCAA
RNAcentral lists this ribosomal RNA (315 nucleotides) under Vibrio crassostreae. RNAcentral's name for it is "partial 23S ribosomal RNA". It matches the Rfam family "Bacterial large subunit ribosomal RNA", at positions 1 to 312 of the family's 2925-position model. Lineage: Bacteria; Pseudomonadati; Pseudomonadota; Gammaproteobacteria; Vibrionales; Vibrionaceae. The record is from RNAcentral.